GCCGGUUGUGAAGGGACUAUUUUGUCACCCAGUUAUGACAAUGUUAUGCCAAAAGAUGACUUAAAGGGGCAUCUGGAGUAAAAAGACAGACUACUGAGAAACCAAGUAUGAAAUUGAGAGGGUUUCAGUAUUUCUAGCAUAUUAUAGUAUUCAUUUAUACUUGGGAUUGGUAUACAACUAUACAAACAACUGAUCAAGCACAAGCCACCAUUUGUUACUUUGUAACUCACUAAUUGCUUUA
This is a long non-coding RNA of Mytilus trossulus (common blue mussel), 241 nucleotides long. RefSeq lists it as uncharacterized. The transcript has 3 exons. Lineage: Eukaryota; Metazoa; Mollusca; Bivalvia; Mytilida; Mytilidae. The record is from RefSeq and is a predicted model, not a curated record.